GUUGUAUAGUCAAGUAAUUAAGUGCAUGUGGUGGAUGCCUUGGCAGUCAGAGGCGAUGAAAGACGUGAUAGCCUGCGAAAAGCUCCGGGGAGGCGGCAAAUAUCCUUUGAUCCGGAGAUGUCUGAAUGGGGGAACCCACCUACUUUAAGGUAGGUAUUGCAACAUGAAUACAUAGUGUUGCAAGGCGAACGAGGGGAAGUGAAACAUCUCAGUACCCUUAGGAAAAGAAAUCAAUUGAGAUUCCCUCAGUAGCGGCGAGCGAACGGGGAUCAGCCCAUUAAGUUAUGUGUGUUUUAGUGGAACGCUCUGGGAAGUGCGAACGUAGAGGGUGAUAUUCCCGUACACGAAAGGGCACACAUAAUGAUGACGAGUAGGGCGAGGCACGUGAAACCUUGUCUGAAUAUGGGGGGACCAUCCUCCAAGGCUAAAUACUCCUGACUGACCGAUAGUGAACCAGUACCGUGAGGGAAAGGCGAAAAGAACCCCUGUGAGGGGAGUGAAAUAGAUCCUGAAACCGCAUGCAUACAAGCAGUGGGAGCACCUUCGUGGUGUGACUGCGUACCUUUUGUAUAAUGGGUCAGCGACUUAUAUUCAGUAGCAAGGUUAACCGUAUAGGGGAGCCGUAGAGAAAUCGAGUCUUAAUAGGGCGUUUAGUUGCUGGGUAUAGACCCGAAACCAGGCGAUCUAUCCAUGAGCAGGUUGAAGGUUGGGUAACACUAACUGGAGGACCGAACCCACUGUCGUUGAAAAGCCAGGGGAUGACUUGUGGAUAGGGGUGAAAGGCUAAUCAAGCCUGGUGAUAGCUGGUUCUCCCCGAAAGCUAUUUAGGUAGCGCCUCGGACGAAUACCAUAGGGGGUAGAGCACUGUUUCGGCUAGGGGGUCAUCCCGACUUACCAAACCGAUGCAAACUCCGAAUACCUAUGAGUACUAUCCGGGAGACAGACUGCGGGUGCUAACGUCCGUAGUCAAGAGGAAAACAAUCCAGACCGCCAGCUAAGGCCCCAAAAUCAUAGUUAAGUGGGAAACGAUGUGGGAAGGCAUAGACAGCUAGGAGGUUGGCUUANNNNNNNNNNNNNNNNNNNNNNNNNNNNNNNNNGAAGCAGCCACCCUUUAAAGAAAGCGUAAUAGCUCACUAGUCGAGUCGGCCUGCGCGGAAGAUGUAACGGGGCUAAAACUAUGUGCCGAAGCUGCGGAUGUAUACUUUGUAUACGUGGUAGGGGAGCGUUCUGUAAGCCGAUGAAGGUGUGUUGAGAAGCNNNNNNNNNNNNNNNAUGCUGGAGGUAUCAGAAGUGCGAAUGCUGACGUGAGUAACGACAAAACGGGUGAAAAACCCGUUCGCCGAAAGACCAAGGGUUCCAGUCCAACGUUAAUCGGGGCUGGGUGAGUCGACCCCUAAGGCGAGGCCGAAAGGCGUAGUCGAUGGGAAAAUGGUUAAUAUUCCAUUACUUCUGUGUAAUGCGAUGAGAGGACGGAGAAGGCUAAAUCAGCCUGGCGUUGGUUGUCCAGGUGAAAGGAUGUAGGCAUGUAUCUUAGGCAAAUCCGGGGUACUCUAUGCUGAGAUCUGAUAGCAAGCUGUACUUGUACAGCGAAGUGGUUGAUGCCAUGCUUCCAGGAAAAGUCUCUAAGCUUCAGUUACACAGGAAUCGUACCCGAAACCGACACAGGUGGUCAGGUCGAGUAGACCAAGGCGCUUGAGAGAACUCUGCUGAAGGAACUAGGCAAAAUGGUACCGUAACUUCGGGAGAAGGUACGCUGUUGUUGGUGAUGGAACUCGCUUCCUGAGCUGACGACAGCCGCAGAAACCAGGCCGCUGCAACUGUUUAUUAAAAACAUAGCACUCUGCAAACACGAAAGUGGACGUAUAGGGUGUGAUGCCUGCCCGGUGCUGGAAGGUUAAUUGAUGGGGUUAGCGUAAGCGAAGCUCUUGAUCGAAGCCCCAGUAAACGGCGGCCGUAACUAUAACGGUCCUAAGGUAGCGAAAUUCCUUGUCGGGUAAGUUCCGACCUGCACGAAUGGCAUAAUGAUGGCGGCGCUGUCUCCAGCAGAGGCUCAGUGAAAUCGAAAUCGCUGUGAAGAUGCAGUGUACCCGCGGCUAGACGGAAAGACCCCGUGAACCUUUACUGCAGCUUGACACUGAACUUUGACCUUACUUGUGUAGGAUAGGUGGGAGGCUUUGAAGCUGGAACGCUAGUUCCAGUGGAGCCGUCCUUGAAAUACCACCCUGGUAAUGUUGAGGUUCUAACUCUGUCCCGUGAUCCGGGACGAGGACCGUGUCUGGUGGGUAGUUUGACUGGGGCGGUCUCCUCCUAAAGAGUAACGGAGGAGUACGAAGGUGCGCUCAGCGUGGUCGGAAAUCACGCGUAGAGUAUAAAGGCAAAAGCGCGCUUAACUGCGAGACCCACAAGUCGAGCAGGUACGAAAGUAGGUCUUAGUGAUCCGGUGGUUCUGUAUGGAAGGGCCAUCGCUCAACGGAUAAAAGGUACUCUGGGGAUAACAGGCUGAUACCGCCCAAGAGUUCAUAUCGACGGCGGUGUUUGGCACCUCGAUGUCGGCUCAUCUCAUCCUGGGGCUGAAGCAGGUCCCAAGGGUAUGGCUGUUCGCCAUUUAAAGAGGUACGCGAGCUGGGUUUAGAACGUCGUGAGACAGUUCGGUCCCUAUCUACCGUGGGCGCUGGAAAUUUGAGAGGAUCUGCUCCUAGUACGAGAGGACCAGAGUGGACGAACCUCUGGUGUACCGGUUGUGACGCCAGUCGCAUCGCCGGGUAGCUAUGUUCGGAAGGGAUAACCGCUGAAAGCAUCUAAGCGGGAAGCCUACCUCAAGAUAAGAUUUCCCUAGGACUUUAUGUCCUCUAAAGAGCCGUUCGAGACUAGGACGUUGAUAGGUUGGAUGUGGAAGCAUAGUGAUAUGUGAAGCUGACCAAUACUAAUUGCUCGUGAGGCUUGACUAUACAACACCCAAGCAGUUG
Molecule: ribosomal RNA, 2966 nt
Filed under: Acinetobacter baumannii
Lineage: Bacteria; Pseudomonadati; Pseudomonadota; Gammaproteobacteria; Moraxellales; Moraxellaceae
Description: bacterial LSU rRNA
Rfam family: Bacterial large subunit ribosomal RNA
Source: RNAcentral